RNAcentral lists this ribosomal RNA (304 nucleotides) under Mesorhizobium sp. Its description in RNAcentral is "partial 23S ribosomal RNA". It matches the Rfam family "Bacterial large subunit ribosomal RNA", at positions 2609 to 2906 of the family's 2925-position model. Lineage: Bacteria; Pseudomonadati; Pseudomonadota; Alphaproteobacteria; Hyphomicrobiales; Phyllobacteriaceae. The record is from RNAcentral.
GUUUAGAACGUCGUGAGACAGUUCGGUCCCUAUCUGCCGUGGGCGCUGGAGAAUUGAGGGGGGUUGCUCCUAGUACGAGAGGACCGGAGUGAACGCACCACUGGUGUUCGGGUUGUCAUGCCAAUGGCAUUGCCCGGUAGCUAAGUGCGGAAAAGAUAAGUGCUGAAAGCAUCUAAGCACGAAACUUGCCCCGAGAUGAGUUCUCCCUGACUCCUUUGAGAGUCCUGAAGGGACGUUGAAGACUACGACGUUGAUAGGCCGGGUGUGUAAGCGCAGCGAUGCGUUGAGCUAACCGGUACUAAUG